CUGACACAGGGAGGUAGUGACAAUAAAUAACAAUGCCGGGCCUUUCUAGGUCUGGCAAUUGGAAUGAGAACAAUUUAAACCCCUUAUCGAGUAUCAAUUGGAGGGCAAGUCUGGUGCCAGCAGCCGCGGUAAUUCCAGCUCCAAUAGCGUAUAUUAAAGUUGUUGCAGUUAAAAAGCUCGUAGUUGGAUUUGUGGCGUACGGGGUGUUCCCUUCACUAGUUGUAGGUGAAAUGCUCGGUUGCCAUCCUUGGGUGGAAUCUGUGUGGCAUUAGGUUGUCGUGCAGGGGAUACCCAUCUUUUACUGUGAAAAAUUAGAGUGUUCAAAGCAGGCUUAUGCCGUUGAAUAGAUUAGCAUGGAAUAAUGAGAUAGGACCUUGGUACUAUUUUGUUGGUUUGCGCACCGAGGUAAUGAUUAAUAGGGACAGUUGGGGGUAUUCGUAUUCCAUUGUCAGAGGUGAAAUUCUUGGAUUUUUGGAAGACGAACUACUGC
Molecule: ribosomal RNA, 490 nt
Filed under: uncultured diatom
Lineage: Eukaryota; Bacillariophyta
Description: SSU rRNA
Rfam family: Eukaryotic small subunit ribosomal RNA
Source: RNAcentral